RNAcentral lists this long non-coding RNA (575 nucleotides) under Salvia miltiorrhiza (redroot sage). Its description in RNAcentral is "long non-coding RNA (SMIL_LNC010280)". Lineage: Eukaryota; Viridiplantae; Streptophyta; Magnoliopsida; Lamiales; Lamiaceae. The record is from RNAcentral.
AUUCAAAACAAUAAUCUCAUCAUUGAAUCGAAUUUCGGCACUCAUUCAACAAAACUAAGAAGCCUACAAGCAAAACUAAAUUUAAAAAUCGAAGAUUUUGGAGCAGAUUCAAACGUCGAUCUGCUUGGAAGCGUCGCUGUAGAAACUCCGUUACUCGUCAAAGAUUCAACACCUUCUCUUUAGUUUUUCUACUCCGCCGCUGCAAUAACUUUAAUCGCCGGAGAUCUCUCUGAGAUUCAAUGUUCGUCCCAUAUUGAGGUGAAAAAGAAAACACAUGCAAUUUACAAGAUUAUAUAUAGUCAGCACAAGGCUUUCCUCAAAACCAAAAAAAAAAUCAUUUGUACAACUAAAACAUCAUACAAUGCAAUUAGCUUAAACCGUGCAACAAAUAAAUAAUUCCUAUGCAACAACUCAUCACACAAACUUUCAUGCAAGCAGUAAGCACCAAAAAUACAACAAGAAAUUUAUUUUCACAAAAACCUCAUAUGUGCAACUGAUGAACAUUAGUAAAUGCAAUUAGCUUCAUCUAUGCAACAACACAAUAUUUCUGUGCAAGUUAUUAUUUUCUAUGCACC